This 461-nucleotide ribosomal RNA is filed under the name uncultured bacterium. Its description in RNAcentral is "partial 16S ribosomal RNA". It matches the Rfam family "Bacterial small subunit ribosomal RNA", at positions 29 to 523 of the family's 1533-position model. The record is from RNAcentral.
AACGAACGCUGGCGGCACGCCUAACACAUGCAAGUCGAACGAAGCUAAGCAGCUUGCUGCUUAGACUGAGUGGCGCACGGGUGAGUAACAUGUGGGAAUUUGCCUAUCGGUGGGGAAUAACCUUUGGAAACGAAGGAUAAUACCGCAUACGCCCUUCGGGGAAAGAUUUAUCGCCGAUAGAUAAGCCCGCACUAGAUUAGCUUGUUGGUGAGGUAAUGGCUCACCAAGGCAAUGAUCUAUAGCUGGUCUGAGAGGAUGGUCAGCCACACUGGGACUGAGACACGGCCCAGACUCCUACGGGAGGCAGCAGUGGGGAAUAUUGGACAAUGGGGGAAACCCUGAUCCAGCGAUGCCGCGUGAGUGAAGAAGGCCUUCGGGUUGUAAAGCUCUUUCAAGAGGGAAGAUAAUGACGGUACCUCUAUAAGAAGCACCGGCUAACUUCGUGCCAGCCGCCGCCGUAA